GUUAGGAAUCUUGGACAAUGGGCGCAAGCCUGAUCCAGCCAUGCCGCGUGAGUGAUGAAGGCCUUAGGGUUGUAAAGCUCUUUCAGCGGGGAAGAUAAUGACGGUACCCGCAGAAGAAGCCCCGGCUAACUUCGUGCCAGCAGCCGCGGUAAUACGAAGGGGGCUAGCGUUGCUCGGAAUCACUGGGCGUAAAGCGCACGUAGGCGGAUCUUUAAGUCAGGGGUGAAAUCCUGGAGCUCAACUCCAGAACUGCCUUUGAUACUGGGGAUCUCGAGUCCGGAAGAGGUGAGUGGAACUCCGAGUGUAGAGGUGAAAUUCGUAGAUAUUCGGAAGAACACCAGUGGCGAAGGCGGCUCACUGGUCCGGUACUGACGCUGAGGUGCGAAAGCGUGGGGAGCAAACAGGAUUAGAAACCCGAGUAGUCC
This 425-nucleotide ribosomal RNA is filed under the name uncultured bacterium. RNAcentral describes it as "bacterial SSU rRNA". It matches the Rfam family "Bacterial small subunit ribosomal RNA", at positions 354 to 796 of the family's 1533-position model. The record is from RNAcentral.